This 467-nucleotide ribosomal RNA is filed under the name uncultured bacterium. Its description in RNAcentral is "SSU rRNA". It matches the Rfam family "Bacterial small subunit ribosomal RNA", at positions 26 to 518 of the family's 1533-position model. The record is from RNAcentral.
AGGAUAAACGCUGGCGGCGUGCCUAACACAUGCAAGUCGAACGUCUCUUUCUUCGGGAAGAGGAGUGGCGGACGGGUGAGGAACACGUGGGAACCUGCCCUUUAGUGAGGAAUACCGGCGAGAAAUCGCCGACAAGACCGCAUAGCCCUCUUUGAUGAGAGUCAAAGAAGGAAAGCUUCGCAAGAGGCGCUAGAGGAGGGGCCUGCGUCCGAUUAGCUAGUUGGUGGGGUAAGAGCCUACCAAGGCGUCGAUCGGUAGCUGGUCUGAGAGGACGAUCAGCCACACUGGGAUUGAGAACGGCCCAGACUCCUACGGGGGCAGCAGUGAGGAAUUUUCGGCAAUGGGGGAAACCCUGACCGAGCAACGCCGCGUGCAGGAAGACGGCCUUCGGGUGUAAACUGCUUUCUUGGACGAGAACGGACGGUACCAGAGGAAUCAGCCCCGGCUCACUACGUGCCAGCAGCCGC